Hypanus sabinus (Atlantic stingray) is the source of this 867-nucleotide long non-coding RNA. RefSeq lists it as uncharacterized. The transcript has 3 exons. The record is from RefSeq and is a predicted model, not a curated record. Lineage: Eukaryota; Metazoa; Chordata; Chondrichthyes; Myliobatiformes; Dasyatidae.
GCAGUGUCCAGAUGUCCAAAGCUGAUUGAGACCUAUCCACACAGACUCAGGGCUGCAAUUGUUGCCCAAAGUGCAUCUACUAAAUAGUGAGUUGAAGGGGAUAUUGUUUGCCCCGCUGAGUUCCUCCAGGAUUUUGCAUGUGUUACUUUCCAGCAUCUACAAAACCUUGUGUUUAUGAGAUGCUCCAUACGAGUUACCGUACAGGUCUCAGUGCACACGUUUUAGAUUCUCUUCUCCAGUGAAGUACAGAUGGUGGACUGCAUUGUUAGAGGGUCAUCUCUUAGAAGAAAGGUAAAUCUUGUUUAUCUUCUACAGAGUAUAUUUUAAAAAAAUAGUACUGCUUCAAAAAGUGGGGAGUUCUCCCCAGUCCCCUGGCCAACUCUGCACUGAUGAGAUAGUUUCCACAAAGUAAGGGUCUGCAAAUGGACUUCACUGGUUACAAAGUCCUUUGAUACAUACUGCAGUCAUGAAAGUCCUUGUGUGUAUAUAUUCUUUCUUCUUGAAAGCACCUUCUUCAAUACAUACAAUACAUUUUUGCAAAGGCUGAGGAAAGUCUAUCUCCCACCCCCCAUCCUCAUCACAUUCUGCAGGGGCUGUAUUGAGAGCGUCCUGAGCAGCUGCAUCACUGCCUGGUUCGGAAAUUGUACCAUCUCGGAUCGCAAGACCCUGCAGCGGAUAGUGAGGUCAGCUGAGAAGAUCAUCGGGGUCUCUCUUCCCCCCAUCACGGACAUUUACACCACACGCUGCAUCCACAAAGCAAACAGCAUUAUGAAGGACCCCAUGCACCCAUCCUGCCAUCUGGGAAAAGGCUCCAAAGCAUUCGGGCUCUUACGACCAGACUAUGUAACAAUUUCUUCCCCCAAGCUA